RNAcentral lists this ribosomal RNA (468 nucleotides) under uncultured bacterium. RNAcentral describes it as "partial 16S ribosomal RNA". It matches the Rfam family "Bacterial small subunit ribosomal RNA", at positions 28 to 507 of the family's 1533-position model. The record is from RNAcentral.
GAUGAACGCUGGCGGCGUGCCUAACACAUGCAAGUCGAACGGAAAGGCCCUGCUUUUGUGGGGUGCUCGAGUGGCGAACGGGUGAGUAACACGUGUGUAACCUGUCCUUGACUUUGGGAUAACUUCAGGAAACUGGGGCUAAUAUCGGAUAGGAGCUCCUGCUGCAUGGUGGGGGUUGGAAAGUUUCGGCGGUUGGGGAUGGACUCGCGGCUUAUCAGCUUGUUGGUGGGGUAGUGGCUUACCAAGGCGGUGACGGGUAGCCGGCCUGAGAGGGUGACCGGCCACAUUAGGACUGAGAUACGGCCCAGACGCCUACGGGAGGCAACAGUGGGAAAUAUUACACAGUAGGCGGAAGCCUGUGGCAGCAGCGCCGCGUGCGGGAUGACGGCCUUCUGGUUAUGAACCGCUGUCGCCUGAGACGAAGCGUUAGUGACGGUAAUGAGUAAAGAAGCACCGGCUAACUACGUG